CUGAGGUAGGCGACCGGCGGCACGGGUGAGUAACACGUAUGCAACCUGCCUGUAAGCGGGGAAGUAACCCGUUGAAAGACGGACUAAUACCGCAUAAUACUAAAUUACUGCAUGGUAAUUUAUUUAAACAUUUAUGGCUUACAGAUGGGCAUGCGCAUGAUUAGCUAGUUGGAGAGGUAACGGCUCCCCAAGGCAACGAUCAUUAGGGGUUCUGAGAGGAAGGUCCCCCACACUGGUACUGAGACACGGACCAGACUCCUACGGGAGGCAGCAGUGAGGAAUAUUGGUCAAUGGACGAGAGUCUGAACCAGCCAAGUCGCGUGCAGGAAGAAUGUCUUAUUGGAUUGUAAACUGCUUUUGCAGGGGAAUAAAGUGCAUCACGUGUGAUGUUUUGUAUGUACUCUGCGAAUAAGGAUCGGCUAACUCCGUGCCAGCAGCAGC
This 441-nucleotide ribosomal RNA is filed under the name uncultured bacterium. RNAcentral describes it as "bacterial SSU rRNA". It matches the Rfam family "Bacterial small subunit ribosomal RNA", at positions 78 to 518 of the family's 1533-position model. The record is from RNAcentral.